Molecule: ribosomal RNA, 253 nt
Filed under: uncultured bacterium
Lineage: Bacteria
Description: partial 16S ribosomal RNA
Rfam family: Bacterial small subunit ribosomal RNA
Source: RNAcentral
GACAGAGGGUGCGAGCGUUAAUCGGAAUUAUUGGGCGUAAAGCGCACGUAGGUGGAUAGGUAAGUUGGAUGUGAAAUCCCUGGGCUCAACCCGGGAAUUGCAUUCAAUACUGCCAAUCUAGAGUACAGUAGAGGGAAGUGGAAUUUCCGGUGUAGCGGUGAAAUGCGUAGAUAUCGGAAAGAACAUCAGUGGCGAAGGCGACUUCCUGGACUGAUACUGACACUGAGGUGCGAAAGCGUGGGGAGCAAACAGG